GCUUACGGCCAUACCAGCCUGAGCACGCCCGCUCUCGUCUGAUCUCGGAAGCCAAGCAGCUUAGGGCAUGUUAGUACUUGGAUGGGAGACCGUCUGGGAAUACCAGGUGCUGUAAGCAU
RNAcentral lists this ribosomal RNA (119 nucleotides) under Misgurnus anguillicaudatus (oriental weatherfish). The record is from RNAcentral. Lineage: Eukaryota; Metazoa; Chordata; Actinopteri; Cypriniformes; Cobitidae.